This 253-nucleotide ribosomal RNA is filed under the name uncultured bacterium. Its description in RNAcentral is "partial 16S ribosomal RNA". It matches the Rfam family "Bacterial small subunit ribosomal RNA", at positions 524 to 776 of the family's 1533-position model. The record is from RNAcentral.
UACGUAGGUGGCAAGCGAUACUCGGAAUCACUAGGCGUAAAGCGCAGGUAGGCGGUUUGGUACGUCUUUUGUGAAAGCUCCCGGCUUAACUGGGAGAGGUCAAGGGAAACUACCGGACUAGAGUGUGGUAGGGGAUACUGGAAUUCCUGGUGUAGCGGUGAAAUGCGUAGAUAUCAGGAGGAAUACCUAUGGCGAAAGCAGGUAUCUGGGCCAUCACUGACGCUGAGCUGCGAAAGCUAGGGGAGCAAAUGGG